Molecule: ribosomal RNA, 608 nt
Filed under: Arthrobacter sp.
Lineage: Bacteria; Bacillati; Actinomycetota; Actinomycetes; Micrococcales; Micrococcaceae
Also listed under: 1 other name
Description: bacterial SSU rRNA
Rfam family: Bacterial small subunit ribosomal RNA
Source: RNAcentral
GCUUGCUGGGUGGAUUAGUGGCGAACGGGUGAGUAACACGUGAGUAACCUGCCCUUGACUCUGGGAUAAGCCUGGGAAACUGGGUCUAAUACUGGAUAUGACUGCUCCGCGCAUGCGGUGGUGGUGGAAAGCUUUUGCGGUUUUGGAUGGACUCGCGGCCUAUCAGCUUGUUGGUGGGGUAAUGGCCUACCAAGGCGACGACGGGUAGCCGGCCUGAGAGGGUGACCGGCCACACUGGGACUGAGACACGGCCCAGACUCCUACGGGAGGCAGCAGUGGGGAAUAUUGCACAAUGGGCGCAAGCCUGAUGCAGCGACGCCGCGUGAGGGAUGACGGCCUUCGGGUUGUAAACCUCUUUCAGUAGGGAAGAAGCUUUCGGGUGACGGUACCUGCAGAAGAAGCGCCGGCUAACUACGUGCCAGCAGCCGCGGUAAUACGUAGGGCGCAAGCGUUAUCCGGAAUUAUUGGGCGUAAAGAGCUCGUAGGCGGUUUGUCGCGUCUGCUGUGAAAGACCGGGGCUCAACUCCGGUUCUGCAGUGGGUACGGGCAGACUAGAGUGAUGUAGGGGAGACUGGAAUUCCUGGUGUAGCGGUGAAAUGCGCAGAUAU